GCGGUGAUGACGGAACUGGUAGACGUAUUAGACUCAGAAUCUAAUGGGUAAAACCGUAUGGGUUCAAAUCCCAUUCGCCGCACCA
RNAcentral lists this transfer RNA (85 nucleotides) under Bacilli bacterium. RNAcentral's name for it is "tRNA-Leu". It matches the Rfam family "tRNA". From Rfam's summary of the family: Transfer RNA (tRNA) molecules are approximately 80 nucleotides in length. Their secondary structure includes four short double-helical elements and three loops (D, anti-codon, and T loops). RNAcentral also lists the same sequence under 1 other name. The record is from RNAcentral. Lineage: Bacteria; Bacillati; Bacillota; Bacilli.